GGGGAAUAUUGCACAAUGGGGGAAACCCUGAUGCAGCAACGCCGCGUGAAGGAAGAAGGUUUUCGGAUCGUAAACUUCUAUCAACAGGGACGAAGAAAGUGACGGUACCUGAAUAAGAAGCCCCGGCUAACUACGUGCCAGCAGCCGCGGUAAUACGUAGGGGGCAAGCGUUAUCCGGAAUUACUGGGUGUAAAGGGAGCGUAGGCGGCACGCCAAGCCAGAUGUGAAAGCCCGAGGCUUAACCUCGUGGAUUGCAUUUGGAACUGGCGAGCUAGAGUACAGGAGAGGAAAGCGGAAUUCCUAGUGUAGCGGUGAAAUGCGUAGAUAUUAGGAAGAACACCAGUGGCGAAGGCGGCUUUCUGGACUGAAACUGACGCUGAGGCUCGAAAGCGUGGGGAGCAAACAGGAUUAGAUACCCUGGUAGUCCACGCCGUAAACGAUGAGUGCUAGGUGUCGGGGAGGAAUCCUCGGUGCCGCAGCUAACGCAAUAAGCACUCCACCUGGGGAGUACGACCGCAAGGUUGAAACUCAAAGGAAUUGACGGGGGCCCGCACAAGCGGUGGAGCAUGUGGUUUAAUUCGAAGCAACGCGAAGAACCUUACCAAGGCUUGACAUCCCGAUGACCGCUCUAGAGAUAGAGUUUCUCUUCGGAGCAUCGGUGACAGGUGGUGCAUGGUUGUCGUCAGCUCGUGUCGUGAGAUGUUGGGUUAAGUCCCGCAACGAGCGCAACCCUUAUCCUUAGUAGCCAUCAUUGAGUUGGGUACUCUAGGGAGACUGCCGUGGAUAACACGGAGGAAGGUGGGGAUGACGUCAAAUCAUCAUGCCCCUUAUGUCUUGGGCUACACACGUGCUACAAUGGCUGGUAACAGAGUGAAGCGAGACGGCGACGUUAAGCAAAUCACAAAAACCCAGUCCCAGUUCGGAUUGUAGUCUGCAACUCGACUACAUGAAGCUGGAAUCGCUAGUAAUCGCGAAUCAGAAUGUCGCGGUGAAUACGUUCCCG
Molecule: ribosomal RNA, 1003 nt
Filed under: uncultured bacterium
Lineage: Bacteria
Description: bacterial SSU rRNA
Rfam family: Bacterial small subunit ribosomal RNA
Source: RNAcentral